UAGCCAAAUGCCUCGUCAUCUAA
RNAcentral lists this non-coding RNA (23 nucleotides) under Arabidopsis thaliana (thale cress). Lineage: Eukaryota; Viridiplantae; Streptophyta; Magnoliopsida; Brassicales; Brassicaceae. The record is from RNAcentral. RNAcentral also lists the same sequence under 3 other names.